UACGUAGGGGGCAAGCGUUGUCCGGAAUUACUGGGCGUAAAGCGCGCGUAGGCGGCUUUUCAAGUCGAUUGUGAAAUCCCCGGGCUUAACCUGGGAACUGCAGUCGAGACUGUCUAGCUAGAGUAUGGGAGAGGGAAGUGGAAUUUCAGGUGUAGCGGUGAAAUGCGUAGAUAUCUGAAGGAACAUCAGUGGCGAAAGCGACUUCCUGGACCAAUACUGACGCUCAUGUGCGAAAGCGUGGGGAGCAAACAGG
RNAcentral lists this ribosomal RNA (253 nucleotides) under uncultured bacterium. RNAcentral's name for it is "partial 16S ribosomal RNA". It matches the Rfam family "Bacterial small subunit ribosomal RNA", at positions 524 to 776 of the family's 1533-position model. The record is from RNAcentral.